RNAcentral lists this long non-coding RNA (754 nucleotides) under Eucalyptus grandis. Its description in RNAcentral is "long non-coding RNA (EGRA_LNC005190)". Lineage: Eukaryota; Viridiplantae; Streptophyta; Magnoliopsida; Myrtales; Myrtaceae. The record is from RNAcentral.
AGACUUGCUGCGAUUCAACUGACCUCACUGGAAAUAUGUCAUCGGGCCAAUAAAACGCGGGUACUAGGAGCCUUCCUUUAUUCCUUCCGCAUUUCCGUGGCACUAUCCAUGAGCUCUAUAUAAACUGAUCUUGGCCUUCAAACUCGAACACAAGAAUGAAACCAAUCCAAAGCCCACGCAUAAGUUUCUAGUUUAACUCACUCUCCUUCUACUAUCUCACCCGCAAAUGGCACCUCAUGCCAAUCGUCUCGCCGAUAUCGGAAGGGAGGGUUUUGCUCUAGUGGACAGAUUUUAUGGUGAAGGGACAUCGGGUCCAGUACCAAAGAAGCAAUACAAAGGCCCAAAGCAGUAUGCUUCUGUUCCCAGUGACAAGAACGCAAUCGAUAGCAAGAAGGCCGCCGAAAAGUACAAAGGAACUGUGGUCACGAAGUACUACAAGAAGUUUAUUGGCUGGCGUUUCUAGGUUCUAGCACUGUAAACAUGUAAUGGUUCGAGUGACUUCCUAGAAGGUAGAGGUAACCGGAUGAAUAAGUCCUUGUCAUGGUUUUCACGGUUUUCCUCAGUCACUUCGAACUCUAGUACUGUGUUUAUGUAUAUCUUUUGUUUUUCAGCUUUCUGAAGUUUAAUUGUAUGCUUGGACAUGUCUAAGCUUUUAAUUGGACCCAUUUUACACUAUAUUCGACUUUUUAUUCCUCUCUUUGAUAAAAUUUAUGUCAAUCUAUGGUAUACUCGGACACUGACCGGUAUGAAAAGA